GACUGAACUUUUAUGCAAGGAGGAAUGACUCUGUAAGGAACUUGACUACGUCAUCGGCCAGCGGUCUUGGAAGUUGCAAACUUGUAAAUAACAAUCUUCACCAUGUUCGGUGGAAUCUUGACGUACCCAAUGUGAAAAUUCACAUUUUGAACCUUUGUUCAAGCUCCGACACACAAAAAAUCAGAGAGAGGAACUUUCAAUCGAAGGACAAAAAAAUAGAGAAGCUUAUCGGUAAGCUAUAGUUUCCCAUGCUUGUCUGUGUUAGAACCCGGUCUACGUCUUCUACGAUUGUACAGAGAGAUAGUAACAUAACAACAAUACAACAAUCAAUAUUUCAUUAACUCCCUUAUUCUCUUACGAUGUGCUAUUUAUGCUAAUACCCAACUCUAACUGUCACCACAAGAUGAUGCCAUCUGGCAUCCUAACAGUCUGGUGGGAUACUGAAACCAAUUUUUUAACUUUUAUGCUUACAAUUUCAAAUAGCCGUAUUGCCGUGUCGUAUCGCCGUAUCCGUAUCCGUAUCCGUGCUACAUUUGUUAAUGUUGAGGCAAAAAGUUACCGGAGUUUUCUGCUCAAGAAGAGGAAGUCCUGCUACCGUUAGAACGUGUCGGAGAGGCCAAAAGAUUAGCACAGAUGAAAAUAAAAGAGAGUGGAGACAAGAAGAGGAAGGGGGCAAACAAUGGGGAGGAGGAGGAUAUUGACAAGUACUUAGGCCACAAGGGGGGAGGAAAGUCCGGAGGGAAGUCGAAGAAGUUCAAAAAAUCAAGAGAUUGAUUUCUCACUCUGCCAAGUUUUGUUGUCAAGAGGAUUUUUGCUUUGUGGUAAUUAUGAUACGUUCAUUCAACAAGCAAUGAAAUUUUAAUCU
Non-coding RNA from Malus domestica (apple), 865 nucleotides. Lineage: Eukaryota; Viridiplantae; Streptophyta; Magnoliopsida; Rosales; Rosaceae. The record is from RefSeq and is a predicted model, not a curated record.